RNAcentral lists this ribosomal RNA (292 nucleotides) under uncultured bacterium. RNAcentral describes it as "partial 16S ribosomal RNA". It matches the Rfam family "Bacterial small subunit ribosomal RNA", at positions 505 to 796 of the family's 1533-position model. The record is from RNAcentral.
GUGCCAGCAGCCGCGGUAAUACAGAGGGUGCGAGCGUUAAUCGGAAUUACUGGGCGUAAAGCGCGCGUAGGUGGUCUUGUAAGUCGGGUGUGAAAGCCCCGGGCUCAACCCGGGAACUGCAUUCGAGACUGCAGAACUAGAGUAUGGGAGAGGGCAGUGGAAUUUCCGGUGUAGCGGUGAAAUGCGUAGAUAUCGGAAGGAACACCAGUGGCGAAAGCGACUGCCUGGCCCAAUACUGACACUCAUGUGCGAAAGCGUGGGGAGCAAACAGGAUUAGAUACCCUAGUAGUCC